AUCCCUUCCCGCAAGGGGUGCUGCAUAGGUGCUGCAUGGCUGUCGUCAGCUCGUGUCGUGAGAUGAAGAAAAAAAGUCCCGCAACGAGCGCAACCCUUAUUGCCAGUUGCCAUCAUUCAGUUGGGCACUCUGGCGAAACUGCCCCGGAUAACGGGGAGGAAGGUGGGGAUGACGUCAAGUCCUCAUGGCCUUUAUGUCCAGGGCUACACACGUGCUACAAUGGCCGGUACAAACCGUCGCAAACCCGCGAGGGGGAGCUAAUCGGAAAAAGCCGGUCUCAGUCCGGAUUGGAUUCCUCGCCCUCGACUCCAUGAAGCUGGAAUCGCUAGUAAUCGCGGAUCAGCACGCCGCGGUGAAUACGUUCCCGG
RNAcentral lists this ribosomal RNA (368 nucleotides) under uncultured Acidobacteriota bacterium. RNAcentral describes it as "bacterial SSU rRNA". It matches the Rfam family "Bacterial small subunit ribosomal RNA", at positions 1009 to 1377 of the family's 1533-position model. Lineage: Bacteria; Pseudomonadati; Acidobacteriota. The record is from RNAcentral.